RNAcentral lists this ribosomal RNA (253 nucleotides) under uncultured bacterium. RNAcentral's name for it is "partial 16S ribosomal RNA". It matches the Rfam family "Bacterial small subunit ribosomal RNA", at positions 524 to 777 of the family's 1533-position model. The record is from RNAcentral.
UACGUAGGGACCAAGCGUUGUUCGGAUUUACUGGGCGUAAAGGGCGCGUAGGCGGCAAUUCAAGUCAUCUGUGAAAUCUCCGGGCUUAACUCGGAACGGUCAGAUGAUACUGCUUUUGCUAGAGUGCGGAAGGGGCAAUCGGAAUUCUUGGUGUAGCGGUGAAAUGCGUAGAUAUCAAGAGGAACACCUGAGGUGAAGACGGUUGCUGGCCGACACUGACGCUGACAGCGCGAAAGCCAGGGAGCAAAGCGGG